RNAcentral lists this ribosomal RNA (253 nucleotides) under uncultured bacterium. RNAcentral describes it as "partial 16S ribosomal RNA". It matches the Rfam family "Bacterial small subunit ribosomal RNA", at positions 524 to 776 of the family's 1533-position model. The record is from RNAcentral.
UACGGGGGGGGCAAGCGUUGUUCGGAAUUACUGGGCGUAAAGGGCUCGUAGGCGGCCAACUAAGUCGGACGUGAAAUCCCUCGGCUCAACCGGGGAACUGCGUCCGAUACUGGAUGGCUUGAGUUCGGGAGAGGGAUGCGGAAUUCCAGGUGUAGCGGUGAAAUGCGUAGAUAUCUGGAGGAACACCGGUGGCGAAGGCGGCAUCCUGGACCGACACUGACGCUGAGGAGCGAAGGCCAGGGGAGCAAACAGG